GGCAACGUGCCUGAGUGGUUAAAGGGUAUGACUCGAAAUCAUAUGACUUCGGUCGCACAGGUUCGAAUCCUGUCGUUGUCG
Molecule: transfer RNA, 81 nt
Filed under: Pyricularia oryzae 70-15
Lineage: Eukaryota; Fungi; Ascomycota; Sordariomycetes; Magnaporthales; Pyriculariaceae
Also listed under: 4 other names
Description: tRNA-Ser (CGA) (tRNA-Ser-CGA-2-1)
Rfam family: tRNA
About the family: Transfer RNA (tRNA) molecules are approximately 80 nucleotides in length. Their secondary structure includes four short double-helical elements and three loops (D, anti-codon, and T loops). Further hydrogen bonds mediate the characteristic L-shaped molecular structure. tRNAs have two regions of fundamental functional importance: the anti-codon, which is responsible for specific mRNA codon recognition, and the 3' end, to which the tRNAs corresponding amino acid is attached (by aminoacyl-tRNA synthetases). tRNAs cope with the degeneracy of the genetic code in two manners: having more than one tRNA (with a specific anti-codon) for a particular amino acid; and 'wobble' base-pairing, i.e. permitting non-standard base-pairing at the 3rd anti-codon position.
Source: RNAcentral